RNAcentral lists this long non-coding RNA (348 nucleotides) under Rattus norvegicus (Norway rat). RNAcentral describes it as "long non-coding RNA NONRATT013606". Lineage: Eukaryota; Metazoa; Chordata; Mammalia; Rodentia; Muridae. The record is from RNAcentral.
ACAAAGCGUACAUGCUGCACAUCAACAUGCUGGAGAAGGUCCGAGAAGACUGGCAGAGUGAACACAUUAAGGCCUGCGAGGUAGGUGCCUGGGACCGGAAGCAGCUUGGGAUGGGGCACGUCUUCCUUCUAGAACCCGAGAAGGGAUUUAGCACAUUGUGUUUCAUUCAGUCACUGAGCAUGAGGAGGGAGUUGGAAAUGGAGCACUGAAGUAAAGAACGGAAGGGAUCGGAAUAAUUUCCUCUCGUCUUCAUCUUUUCGCUUCCUCCCCAUCCUGACCUCACUGUCCAGCUCAGUCCAGAGGUUUAGUCUAAUAUUUGGUUAGCCCAGACAUGAGACGGCUACAUCA